This 509-nucleotide ribosomal RNA is filed under the name uncultured bacterium. RNAcentral describes it as "bacterial SSU rRNA". It matches the Rfam family "Bacterial small subunit ribosomal RNA", at positions 36 to 518 of the family's 1533-position model. The record is from RNAcentral.
CUGGCGGCGUGCCUAAUACAUGCAAGUCGAACGGUCUUUCUAUGGAAGCUUGCUUCCACUGAGAAGAUAGUGGCGAACGGGUGAGUAACACGUGGGUAACCUGCCCAUAAGAGGGGGAUAACAUCCGGAAACGGGUGCUAAUACCGCAUAGUUUUCUUGAUCGCAUGAUCGGGAAAGGAAAGACGGCCUUUGUGCUGUCGCUUAUGGAUGGACCCGCGGCGUAUUAGUUAGUUGGUGAGGUAACGGCUCACCAAGACGAUGAUACGUAGCCGACCUAAGAGGGUGAUCGGCCACAUUGGGACUGAGACACGGCCCAAACUCCUACGGGAGGCAGCAGUAGGGAAUCUUCCGCAAUGGACGAAAGUCUGACGGAGCAACGCCGCGUGAGUGAAGAAAGGUUUUCGGAUCGUAAAACUCUGUUGUCAGAGAAGAACAAGUUGGAGAGUAACUGCUCCAGCCUUGACGGUAUCUGACCAGAAAGCCACGGCUAACUACGUGCCAGCAGCCGC